RNAcentral lists this ribosomal RNA (260 nucleotides) under Rhizobium sp. SSR321. RNAcentral describes it as "partial 16S ribosomal RNA". It matches the Rfam family "Bacterial small subunit ribosomal RNA", at positions 46 to 334 of the family's 1533-position model. RNAcentral also lists the same sequence under 2 other names. The record is from RNAcentral. Lineage: Bacteria; Pseudomonadati; Pseudomonadota; Alphaproteobacteria; Hyphomicrobiales; Rhizobiaceae.
AGGCUUAACACAUGCAAGUCGAGCGCCCCGCAAGGGGAGCGGCAGACGGGUGAGUAACGCGUGGGAAUCUACCCAUCCCUACGGAACAACUCCGGGAAACUGGAGCUAAUACCGUAUACGCCCUUCGGGGGAAAGAUUUAUCGGGGAUGGAUGAGCCCGCGUUGGAUUAGCUAGUUAGUGGGGUAAAGGCCUACCAAGGCGACGAUCCAUAGCUGGUCUGAGAGGAUGAUCAGCCACAUUGGGACUGAGACACGGCCCAA